This 1903-nucleotide long non-coding RNA is filed under the name Homo sapiens (human). Its description in RNAcentral is "HSALNT0257765". The record is from RNAcentral. Lineage: Eukaryota; Metazoa; Chordata; Mammalia; Primates; Hominidae.
UCUCUCUCUCACUCUAAUUUCAGUUUGUUUCCACAAUACUCAGAGUAACUUGCUGUUCUUUUUCUUCUUUGUUCCAUCCUUUAUUCUCCUAUGCUCCUUCCUGCAAACUGAGUUUGACCUUUGGAUUUUUUUUUUUUUUUUGGUUACACUUCACCCUGUGUGUGACAAAUAGAGAGAGAGACAGAGAGAGAGAGGAGUUUUUUUAAAUUGCGACAUUAAUUACCUUUUAUUAUUGUACACUCCUACUUAAUUAUUUGGUCUUUAGGGUUGUUCACUAUUAUUUCCUUGUUAUUGUUAUAUAUUUACUGUUGGUUCAUUUAUUUUGAGAUGGAUGUCGACUGCAUGCAUCGCAUUUAGCUGCCAGCUUGUCAUGUCUAAGAUGAACAGACAGCUCUCACCUUGCCAUGUCUAAGAUUGACCAGAUGAUUCUCACCUUGCCAUAUCUAAGGUCGACCAGAUGGCUCUCACCUUGCCAUGUCUAAGGUCGAUCAGAUGGCUCUCACCUUGCCAUGUCUGAGGUUGACCAGAUGGGUCUCCUCUUCGAGUGAGUUCAACAAGAUGGCUCUCACCUUGCCAUGUCUAAGGUUGACCAGAUGGAUCUUGCCUUGCCAUGUCUAAGGUCAAACAGAUGGCUCUUCUUUUUCCAUGUCUAAGGUCGGCCAGAUGACUCUUGCCUUGCCAUGUCUAAGCUCAACCAGAUGGCUUUCAUUUUUCCUUGUCUUCAGUCGACCAGAUGUCUCUCACCUUGCCAUGUCUAGGUCAAUCAGAUGGCUCUCACCUUGCCACAUCUACGAUUGACCAGAUGGCUCUUGCCAUUCUAUGUCUAAAGUCUACCAGAUGGCUCUCAUUUUGUCAUGUUUAAGGUUGUCCAGAUGGCUCUCUCUUUCCCAUUUCUGAGGUCGACUGGAUGGCUCUAGCCUUUCCAUGUCUGAGGCCAACCAGUUGGCUCUCCUUCCCAUGUCUAAAGUUAACCAGAUGGCUCUCACCUUGCCAUGUCUGAGGCAGACUAGAUGGCUCUCGCCUUGCCAUGUCUGAGGUGGACUUGAUGGCUCCCACCUUGCCCUGUCUAUGGUCAACGAGAUGGCUCUCACCUUCCCAUGACUAAGGUGGACCACAUGGCUCUUGAUUUGCCAUGUCUAAGCUAGAUGAGAUGCUUCUUGCCUUACCAUGUCUAAGAUGGAUCUGAAGCCUCUUGCAUUACCAUCUCUAAUGUUGACCAGAUGGCUCUUGCCUUGCCAUGUUUGAGGUUGACCAGAUGCUUGUUGCCUUGCCAUGCCUUAAGUAGACCAUGUGGCUCUCAACUUCCUAUGUCUAAGGUUGACCAAGAUGGCUUUCACCUUGCCAUGUCUGAAGUGGACUUGAUGGUUCCCACCUUGCCAUGUCUAUGGUCGACCAGAUGGCUCUCACCUUCCCAUGACUAAGGUAAACCAUAUGUCUCUUGCCUUGCCAUGCCUAAACUAGACCAGAUGCCUCUUGCCUUUCCAUGCUUAAGGUGGACCCAAACCCUUUUCGCAUUUCCAUCUCUAAAGUCGACCGGAUGGCUCUUUCCUUGCCAUGUCUGAGGUCAAGAUGCCUCUUGCCUUGCCAUGUCUGAAGUAGAUCAGAUGGCUCUCACUUUCCCAUGUCUGAGGUUGACCAGAUGGUUCUCACCUUGCUAUGUCUGAGGCAGACUUGAUGGCUCCCACCUUACCAUGUCUAUGGUCAACAAGAUGGCUCUUGCCUUCCCAUGACUAAGGUGGACCAUAUGGCUCUUGCCUUGCCAUGUCUAAGCUGGACAAGAUGGCUUUAGCCUUACCAUGUUGAAGGUGGACCUGAAGCCUCUUGCAUUCCCAUCUCUAAGGUUGACCAGAUGGCUCUUGCCUUGCCAUGUCUAAGGCUGAUCAGAUGGCUCGCACCUUGCCAU